Molecule: ribosomal RNA, 495 nt
Filed under: uncultured bacterium
Lineage: Bacteria
Description: partial 16S ribosomal RNA
Rfam family: Bacterial small subunit ribosomal RNA
Source: RNAcentral
GACGAACGCUGGCGGCGUGCCUAAUACAUGCAAGUAGAACGCUGAAGGAGGAGCUUGCUUCUCUGGAUGAGUUGCGAACGGGUGAGUAACGCGUAGGUAACCUGCCUGGUAGCGGGGGAUAACUAUUGGAAACGAUAGCUAAUACCGCAUAAGAGUAGAUGUUGCAUGACAUUUGCUUAAAAGGUGCAAUUGCAUCACUACCAGAUGGACCUGCGUUGUAUUAGCUAGUUGGUGGGGUAACGGCUCACCAAGGCGACGAUACAUAGCCGACCUGAGAGGGUGAUCGGCCACACUGGGACUGAGACACGGCCCAGACUCCUACGGGAGGCAGCAGUAGGGAAUCUUCGGCAAUGGACGGAAGUCUGACCGAGCAACGCCGCGUGAGUGAAGAAGGUUUUCGGAUCGUAAAGCUCUGUUGUAAGAGAAGAACGAGUGUGGGAGUGGAAAGUUCACCCUGUGACGGUAUCUUACCAGAAAGGGACGGCUAACUACGUG